UACGGGGGGGGCAAGCGUUGUUCGGAAUUACUGGGCGUAAAGGGCUUGUAGGCGGCCAACUAAGUCAGACGUGAAAUCCCUCGGCUUAACCGGGGAACUGCGUCUGAUACUGGAUGGCUUGAGUUCGGGAGAGGGAUGCGGAAUUCCAGGUGUAGCGGUGAAAUGCGUAGAUAUCUGGAGGAACACCGGUGGCGAAGGCGGGUCUCUGGGCAAUUCCUGACGCUGAGGCGCGAAAGCGUGGGGAGCAAACGGG
This 253-nucleotide ribosomal RNA is filed under the name uncultured bacterium. Its description in RNAcentral is "partial 16S ribosomal RNA". It matches the Rfam family "Bacterial small subunit ribosomal RNA", at positions 524 to 776 of the family's 1533-position model. The record is from RNAcentral.